This is a long non-coding RNA of Eptesicus fuscus (big brown bat), 726 nucleotides long. RefSeq lists it as uncharacterized. The transcript has 4 exons. The record is from RefSeq and is a predicted model, not a curated record. NCBI's taxonomy places the organism in Eukaryota, Metazoa, Chordata, Mammalia, Chiroptera, Vespertilionidae.
CGGAACCAAACCGUUCGUGCUGCCAUUUCCGGGUGGGUGCCUGAGUAUGUUACAAUGGAUCGGUAGCUCGCGUCCGGCGGAGGUCCCUCCAGAGAGGACCGCGAGCUGAGAGACUGAGUCCUUGUUCGAAGGAGCUUGAGCCGCAGAUAUCGGGGCACCCGCGCUGGGCCUGUUGGGCAGGUUGUCCUACCUAGUGGAUCGGAGAGUGCGCCCGGCAAAAGAACAAGACUCUUGGCUACGGUGUCCCGGUGUCGGGACGGUGUUGGGAGAGGUGCCUCACGCGAUGCUACUAAUGGCUCACACCUGCAACAUUUUCUGGAGGCUUGCCCUUAGUAGAUUGGAGCAACAUCACCAGGAGGUGUCUGGAAGUUAUGCACCACUCAUCCCUGUAACAGUCAGUAAACAGUGACUGCCUAAUGCCCGAUAUGGAGAUCUCUGAGUCUCCCCUAUCCUCUUUGUAUGAUACCCUCUUAUAACCUGGAGAGGAGAGCCAAGAAGCUGCCAAGGUUGUAGCAUGGUGGUGUUUACCUCAGAAAGCAACCACCUGGGAGUGACACAGAAGAAGAUGCAGUUACAACAGCUGGUACAUACUGUUCACCAUCUUGAGAGGAGCAAACCUUUCAAGUGCUGUCUUCUUUUCAUCAAGAAGUGCCUUUUUUACUGGUGAAGCAGAGAAUAAUCAAUACGAGUAGAUCAAGAUCAUAAGUUUUGUGAUAACUUCUCAGG